RNAcentral lists this non-coding RNA (174 nucleotides) under Clostridium magnum. Lineage: Bacteria; Bacillati; Bacillota; Clostridia; Eubacteriales; Clostridiaceae. The record is from RNAcentral. RNAcentral also lists the same sequence under 1 other name.
UAAAUAUUAAAAAUAUUAGGUUUAUUUAAUAAUCAAAAGGGAAAAUGGUGAAAAUCCAUUGCAGCCCCCGCUACUGUAUACGGCGACAAAUUCUGUAUCCACUGGAUUUAUUCUGGGAAGGAAGAAGGAGGAAGACCCGUGAGUCAGGAGACCUGCCUUUUAUUUUGAUUGCAA